GCAAACUUGGUCAUUUAGAGGAAGUAAAAGUCGUAACAAGGUUUCCGUAGGUGAACCUGCGGAAGGAUCAUUACCAAAUGAAAAUGGAGGAUCAUCCUUAAACGGGGUGGAUUCAUCCUAAUUUCUAUCCAUCCUCUGUGCAUGUGAAUGAACUGUUUGCUUUGACGGAUAUCUUCAGAUCCAUCCGUCAGGGUUUUUUUUUGUCUUCCAAACUUUUUUAAAAUCCUCCAAUAUUUUAUGUUAUCAUAAAAAAAAUAAUAAUAAUUCUAUACAACUUUCAACAACGGAUCUCUUGGCUCUCGCAUCGAUGAAGAACGCAGC
This 321-nucleotide unclassified non-coding RNA is filed under the name uncultured fungus. Its description in RNAcentral is "partial contains small subunit ribosomal RNA, internal transcribed spacer 1, and 5.8S ribosomal RNA". The stretch from base 1 to 73 matches the Rfam family "Eukaryotic small subunit ribosomal RNA", at positions 1759 to 1831 of the family's 1831-position model. Lineage: Eukaryota; Fungi. The record is from RNAcentral.